This 313-nucleotide long non-coding RNA is filed under the name Lathyrus oleraceus (garden pea). RNAcentral's name for it is "Pisum sativum (pea) long non-coding RNA (PSAT_LNC002887)". Lineage: Eukaryota; Viridiplantae; Streptophyta; Magnoliopsida; Fabales; Fabaceae. The record is from RNAcentral.
UAAAAUAGUCUGUUGGACUACCAAUUAACUGUGGAAGAAUCCAAGAAAAUAAAUCCUAGCCGCCUGGCUGUUGGGUUUCCAAGGGAUUAUGGAUUGGGAAAACAAAAAGCAAUACACUAAUAUACACUAUUUAAUAAAAAAACAAAGGAAUACUAAACUUGUUAAUUUUUUUUAUGGUUUAAACGUUUGUUUUUUUUUUAAAUAAAUAAACAAGAAGAUGAGUGGAACAGUAACAGAACAAAAAAAAUCCUCAUCGUCCCCACUCUUCAAUCUUUCACGCCUCUCAACCGUUCUCUCAAUCACCCACGCUCAC